AACAUUUAACUUGCCUGUUUGUGUCAGUCUCUCCGUCAGACUAACCUAACUGGAUUGCACGACAGAAGCAUGUUUUCAGCUCAUCAAAGGACUGGCCAAGGAGGUGAAGGAUAUCAGUAAGCAUGCUCAGAAGAGAGUGAUGAUCGAAGCUAAGUGAUGCAGUUACCGCUUCUAUAGCAGCAGGAGUCUCAUUCUGGAGUGGUACAGGGAGCUGAGCCAACUAACCCGGAUCCUCUCAAGCUCUGUCAGGAUGGAUGGGGAGCUUUGAUGCACAGCUAUUUUCAGGUCUCUCUGGAGAUGUUCGAUCGGGCUCUGGCUGGGCCACUCAAGGACAUUCAAAGACUUUUCACGAAGCCACUCCCGUGUUGCCUUGGCUGUGUGCAAUGGGUCGUUGUCCUGUUGGAAGGUGAACCUUCACCCCAGUCUGAUGUACUGAACGUUCUGGAGCAGGUUUUCAUCAAGGAUCUCUCUGUACUUCUUUGCCUCGAUCCUGACUAGUCUCCCAGUCUCUGCCGCUGAAAAACAUCCCCACAUCAUGAUGCUGCCACCACAAUGUUUCACCGUAGUGAUGGUGCCAGGUUUCCUCCAGAUGUAAUGCUUGGCAUUCAGGCCAAAGAGUUCAAUAUUGGUUUCAUCAGACCAGAGAAUCUUGUUUCUCAUGGUCUGAGAGCCCUUUGGGUUCCUUUUGGCAAACUCCAAGCAGGCUGUCGUGAGGAGUGGCUUCCGUCUGGCUACUCUAUCAUAAAGGCCUGAUUGGUGGAGUGCUGCAGAGAUGGUUGUGCUGCUGUGCGGUUUGUUGCUAACGUUUCUUUGCUACCUGCCAACUUUACAGUUUUUACCUUUUUUAAUUACCAUUUUAUAUUUUUCAUUCAAUUUUUUCCCCCCAGACGCUUUAUCUGGACAUGGUUCUACACGACCUCCACCAGCCGACACUAAGUAGUAACAUUAACAUCAUGCCUUCAUCAUUGCAAUCGCUGUACUCGUAAUAUACAGGAGAACGAGGAUAGCUGUGCUGCAAGCCCAGCUUCAGACGCAAUCGUUAGGCAAGGGUCAUUUUAAGUGUAGGAAGGGAUGAAACAGUGUCUGUACCACCAAUAAGUACAGAUACUAGUAUAAAUCCCCUCGCACAGUCCCCGCAGCCGGACAAUUUUCUCAUGGCUUCUGGAAGGAAAUGCUGUAGGAAUGCUAAACCGGUGUCGCUCAUUCAGCUGACAGAAACUUUCAACCGGUUCUCCCCAUUAAGCAACGAGUCAGUCAGUCUUCUCUGGUCUGUCCUCCAUGGAGUCUGAGAUGCCGAAGCCUCCCACCAUUAGCUCUGACAAAUUGAACAACCUAGUCAUUAGCGACUCCAUUACCCGUAGUAUUACACUUCAAAAUAACCAUCCAGCGAUCAUACACUGUUUACCAGGGGGCAGGGCUACUGUUUUAUAAAUAUUCAUACACAUAGCUCAUAUAUUAUACAGCGCUAAGCUAAUCUGCCUGACUCAAGUCAUUUCACGUACCCCUGCUAAAACAAGAACCAGGUCACUCUUCCUGCAAUAAAACUACCCCCCUCAGCUCUGUUGUUUCACAACCCCCUCUGCUCUCCUGUCUCACUGUCCCCUGACACACAAAUAUCUUGUUGGAUAAAACACACACAUCCCCCUCUACUGGUCGAGUGCUCAGAGCAGAGGACUCUGCUCCGCACCAAUGGGACUCCUGCUAUGGCCAGAGCAGAUCCGCCUCCAACCCUUCGGGACCAGUCAGAAGACCGACACGACAAGACUCUACCCACUUUAUUCUAUGUAUAAAAAUGAAUGUAAACCUUUGUAUAGGUCUCUUUUUCACCUGACUCCUUACCGAGUUAUAUGAACUAGAUCCGUGCACGUUAAACUGCGGGACAAAAUAUCUUUGACUUAAUAAACUGCCUUUUUGCUAUACUUGA
This is a long non-coding RNA of Oncorhynchus masou masou (cherry salmon), 1924 nucleotides long. RefSeq lists it as uncharacterized. The transcript has 3 exons. The record is from RefSeq and is a predicted model, not a curated record. Lineage: Eukaryota; Metazoa; Chordata; Actinopteri; Salmoniformes; Salmonidae.